Long non-coding RNA from Phacochoerus africanus (Common warthog), 2511 nucleotides. RefSeq lists it as uncharacterized. The record is from RefSeq and is a predicted model, not a curated record. NCBI's taxonomy places the organism in Eukaryota, Metazoa, Chordata, Mammalia, Artiodactyla, Suidae. The transcript is spliced from 5 exons.
CCUUCCACUCUACAGAUAGCUAUCUUAAAAUGAAACCGCUGAGCUGAGCAACCUGAAGUCCCUUUGUUUCAGGGUGUGACGCCACCCUGAAAGGCUGUUCUCACUGCUUGGAAGCCGCCAGCAGCUCUAUCCGUGCAGAGGGCAACUUCCAGCUCACAUUUCUUCUGAGAAAUGCACCGCCAGGCAUGGACGUCACUCGUUUGCUGGUGCUGAAUCACUUCGUUUUGGACUCCUCAGAAUGGUGCACACGGAGCAGCUUGAGGGAGGAGACGAGGUCACUGAUCACCUCUACAUCCGGUGUUCUACACAGACCUAUUUCAAGAUUUUUGAAUGCAGUGAGAAGAUGAGGGAAAAUUGGAGAAAACGGCGUGACUGAUGAGACUCAAUGAAACAGAAAGACCUUUCACUCACCGUUUCCCUUCUGCUGUGAGCCUUCCGAGUACUUUGAGGAAAACCAUACGGAUCUCCAGAAUUGAGACUACCCCAUGAAAAGCCAUAGGAAAAGUUUGAAUUUGAAAUGAAAUUAGAAACCCAUAUGAAAAUCGGCACUUGUAUUUUCCAAUCUGGACGUCCAAGGAAAGGUCAUACAGAAUCAUUGUAUUUGAAUCCAAAUAACUGAAUGAGGCAACAUGACAAAGUAUAUUCAGUGAUACAAGAAAAGUGGAUCCAGAACAGAGCCCUGAAGUAUUCUGUCAUAUGGAAUUUGAUCCCAGGGGAAAAGUCCAAGGAGAAGACAGAGGAAGCAGCCAUUGUGAUAGCAGGAAAUGUGAAGAGAUGGCCCUGAAAUGGGCAAAGAGAAGUGUUUGAAGAAGAGGGACUCUUUUCAACUCUGCAAAUGCUGCAGGGAAGUCAAGUAGUACAAGAGCAGAGAUGUGACUGUUGGGAUGAAACAGGGAGGUUGUCCGUGACCCAGACAAGAAUCUAGGUCUCCAUGGAACAAGGAGAGCAGAAGCCCAGUAGAGUCCAUUGAAAAGAGAGUGAGAGAUGGAGAACCAAGAGUUUGUGACCAAAGACAACCUUACAAAAAGCUCUGUUGUGAAAGGAAACAAAGACAUGGAAGAACAAAUGGGGCAUGUGAGUGGUCAAGUAAGGAGUGCGUUUUGUUAAAAUAGACAUAGCAGAGUAUGUUGGUGCAUGAAGAGGGAUAAUCAACUAGAGGAGGGAGAGUGAACGAUGACACAGGAGAGAAGGGGGAACGUUAUAGAAAAAGUGUCUUUGAGAAGGACACUUGAAUUGCAAUUUAGAACCAGAUGAGGCGGUCUGUCUUUUGAUAAGAGUAAAUAAGAAUUUUGUAAAUAUUAUCUAGAAGUAAGGCAGAGUGUACAAGGGAGGAUAUGGCAGGAUGGAAAUUUGGAUGGUAGAAAGAAAAGGGUAGAAUGAAGUAGGAGCAAAGCUCAUCAAGUGAGAGUGAACUGGGCUUGAAAUUUUGUGUGUAUUUUUUACUGAAAAUGUUCAGCUGCUCAGGUGUUUAAAUUUAACAAGAAUUGGAAUUUUUCUAGGAAAAAACACAAAGAAGAGAUGUAUAAGAGAGUCAGGUUAGAUGUUAUAUAAUACAAAGUUUACAUUACAUUAUAUAGUCUUUAUAGACUGAAUAAUCAGAAAAUUAGAUAAAAUUGAGAAAGUCAACAAGACAUGGAUGAAAAAUUUCUUCAUGGUCAAAGAAUUUCUGAAGUGGAAAUUUAGAAUGAGAAUGAUUAGUAGGACAGGAAAAGAGAAGGGAUGUGGUAGGAUUUGUAAAGAGCAAUUACGGUGUAUUACAUUUAUGGUAUGUUCCUCUCACACCAUAAAAAGAGAAAUACAAACAAGAAAAUUAAGACAGAAAGUAUUGUGACAUCCUUAGCAUCCUGCCCUUUAAAAAAAAAUCAGUAUUCAAGGAAAAGGCUACAGAAUUAAGCUGUUAUCCUUCAUCAAGAUUUAUAAUGCUCAUGAUAAAUGAGAAUGACAAUGGAUAAAUGGGGAAUGAUAAUGAUAAGUGGAUCCAAGAUUAAACAGUGAAAAUUCUGUUCACAGUAAGGUAGAACGUCAAAGAAUGUUACAUUUUUUAGAGGUAAAAAACCAAUGAAAGAAUACGUGAGUAUUUUUCUAUUACUCCUUUCUCCUAAUAUCACUGCUUCUGUUAACUCUUUGUGUUCUCUAUAUCUACCAUUUAAUUUAUACUCACUGAUUUUAAGUAUGGGUAUUCUGGGACAUUAGGGAUACUUUACUGAAGCAUAAACUGAAGUAAACACAAGUGGUCCAUUUGUAUCAUAAUUAAAUUUGACUUAAAAAAUACAAACUUUCCAGGUACAGGGUUGCAUUUGAAUUAUUGUAUCUUCCAAUAUUUAUUUCUUUUCUCCCUUUAGUCUUUGAUGUGUCUUUUCAGGUAACUUAACCUCUUCCAUAUUGUAAUAAGUUGGAAAGAGAUCUCCGAAGGAAGUAAGAAAAAUUCUAAAAAUUCUAUUAGCAAAUUCUAAUAAAAGCUUAAUUUGGUAAAAACUAAAAUAAAAUCCUCUAAAGGUCCCUUCUCUCUGU